RNAcentral lists this small nucleolar RNA (153 nucleotides) under Oryza sativa Indica Group (long-grained rice). Its description in RNAcentral is "box C/D snoRNA". Lineage: Eukaryota; Viridiplantae; Streptophyta; Magnoliopsida; Poales; Poaceae. The record is from RNAcentral.
GACGGUGACGACGGAGAUGUCGACGUCGUGGGCGGACAGCGCGCCGAUGAAGCGGAAGAACUGGAGGAGGUGGCCCAUGCCGGCGCUCGGGACGAACACGACGUGCGGCCGUGUGUGCCCUCGCGCGCCGAGCUCACCGGAGCUGAGCACCGC